UACGUAGGGGGCAAGCGUUGUCCGGAAUCAUUGGGCGUAAAGCGCGCGUAGGCGGCCCGGUAAGUCCGCUGUAAAAGUCAAAGGCUCAACCUUUGAAUGCCGGUGGAUACUGUCGGGCUAGAGUCCGGAAGAGGCGAGUGGAAUUCCUGGUGUAGCAGUGAAAUGCGUAGAGAUCAUGAGGAAGACCAGUGGCGAAGGCGGGUCUCUGGACAGUUCCUGACACUGAGGCACGAAGGCCAGGGGAGCAAACGGG
This 253-nucleotide ribosomal RNA is filed under the name uncultured bacterium. RNAcentral describes it as "partial 16S ribosomal RNA". It matches the Rfam family "Bacterial small subunit ribosomal RNA", at positions 524 to 776 of the family's 1533-position model. The record is from RNAcentral.